This 920-nucleotide long non-coding RNA is filed under the name Equus caballus (horse). Its description in RNAcentral is "lncRNA (ENSECAG00000031077.2)". Lineage: Eukaryota; Metazoa; Chordata; Mammalia; Perissodactyla; Equidae. The record is from RNAcentral.
CCACUUUCUAGAGGCUGCAGCAUUCCUUGGCUCAUGGUCCUGUUCCUCCAUUUUCAAAGCCAGCAAUGGCCUGAAGUUAUGAGGGACUAAAGUGAGGAUCAGAACCCAGAACCUAUGGUGUAUAGAGGUCUUCCUUCAAAGAAACACUGGCCUUCAUUUGAGGAACACAGCCAGGCUGAGGGGACCCCACAGGGGUUAAGUAAAAGAUAUCAUAUGGAUUGACUAACACUGAAGAGUCAAGAAUUUUUAAGGAAGCUUCUGCAGCUUUUGGAGUGUGAAUGUAACAGGUUGGGCUCCUCCUCGAGCAAACCCUGACAGAAAUCUACCUAGCCUAAGGCUGCAAAGAUAUUCUCCUAUGGUUACGUCCAGAAGUUUUACAGUUUUAUGUCCAUGUGUAUGAUCAAUUUCAAGUUAUUUUUUUACAGUGCAAGGCACGUGGGGAGUUUGUAUCUCCCCAUACCUGAAUUUUUAACUGAACAUAUGGGUUGCUCUAGCUGAAGAAAUGUGUGUAGAACAUGAUGUGUCAUUUCCAGGCUCAAUCACCAUCCUCUCUCUGUCCCUGUGCCAUUGCCUCAGUCCCAGAAUGAGGAGAGUCUCUAGCUCUCUCAUGUAGCAGUAGCAAGAAAUAUAUCUUGAUGAUAUAAGUUACUAAUAAUCUUUUAAUGGCAAAAUAAUCUAUAUAAUAUCAUCUAUCUUGAUUACUACAGAAAUGUAUACCUAGAAAUGUGGUACUUCCAUUAAAAAAACCUUAAAAUAAAGACUGGGAAGUGGGUGGUGAGGAAACUAUUAUCAGAGAUUACAAGAAUGGUGAUCUAUGUGAUGCAACAUGUAAUCAUUUGAUAAAAUUGUUGACAGAGAUAAUCUGGAAGCCAAAUUACAUACCUUGUGAAUUUGUAAAUCAAGAAAUAAAGAUUGCAAAA